UACGAGGGGGGCGAGCGUUGUUCGGAAUUAUUGGGCGUAAAGGGUGCGUAGGCGGUUCGGUAAGUUUGAUGUGAAAUCUUCGGGCUCAACUCGAAGUCUGCAUCGAAAACUGCCGGGCUUGAGUGUGGGAGAGGUGAGUGGAAUUUCCGGUGUAGCGGUGAAAUGCGUAGAUAUCGGAAGGAACACCUGUGGCGAAAGCGGCUCACGGGACCACAACUGACGCUGAUGCACGAAAGCUAGGGGAGCAAACAGG
This 253-nucleotide ribosomal RNA is filed under the name uncultured bacterium. RNAcentral's name for it is "partial 16S ribosomal RNA". It matches the Rfam family "Bacterial small subunit ribosomal RNA", at positions 524 to 776 of the family's 1533-position model. The record is from RNAcentral.